Molecule: ribosomal RNA, 521 nt
Filed under: uncultured Glomus
Lineage: Eukaryota; Fungi; Glomeromycota; Glomeromycetes; Glomerales; Glomeraceae
Description: SSU rRNA
Rfam family: Eukaryotic small subunit ribosomal RNA
Source: RNAcentral
AGCAGCCGCGGUAAUUCCAGCUCCAAUAGCGUAUAUUAAAGUUGUUGCAGUUAAAAAGCUCGUAGUUGAAUUUCGGGGUCAGUAGGUCGGUCGUGCCACUGGUAUGAACUGGUUUCACUGAUUCUUCCCUCUUGUAGAACCGUGAUGCCAUUAAUUUGGUGUUGCGGGGAAACAGGACUGUUACUUUGAAAAAAUUAGAGUGUUUAAAGCAAGCUAACGCUUGAAUACAUUAGCAUGGAAUAAUGAAAUAGGACGUCGAUCUUAUUUUGUUGGUUUCUAGGAUGGACGUAAUGAUUAAUAGGGAUAGUUGGGGGCAUUAGUAUUCAAUUGUCAGAGGUGAAAUUCUUGGAUUUAUUGAAGACUAACUACUGCGAAAGCAUUUGCCAAGGAUGUUUUCAUUAAUCAAGAACGAAAGUUAGGGGAUCGAAGACGAUCAGAUACCGUCGUAGUCUUAACCAUAAACUAUGCCGACUAGGGAUCGGAUGAUGUUAAUUUUUUAAUGACUCAUUCGGCGCCUUACG